The sequence is a transfer RNA, 74 nucleotides long. It matches the Rfam family "tRNA". From Rfam's summary of the family: Transfer RNA (tRNA) molecules are approximately 80 nucleotides in length. Their secondary structure includes four short double-helical elements and three loops (D, anti-codon, and T loops).
GCGCCCUUAGCUUAAUUGGAUAGAGCAACAGCCUUCUAAGCCGUAGGUUACAGGUUCAAAUCCUGUAGGGCGCA